AAAGUACUAAAAAGCACAUUAGAAAGGAAAAUUUGUAAGCUACUCAAGAAAAUUUUUUUUUCUGUAGAAAAAAAUUGCAAGUGUGUCUGAUGAAGAAAAGACGAAGGUGUGAGGAGAGAGAGCGAAGAGUAAGAGCGAGAAGCGGGAAGAAGAAUCUAAAUAAAUGAAGAUAAAAUUUGAAGAAAAAUUUGUAGUUGUCGUAUGAGGAUCAAAAUGAAGGAGCAGGGAGCUAGAAACAGGCCCUCGAAUGCGUUUUGAGGUCAAAUGGAUACUUUCACGUAUGGAUACUAUUAGUAGAAGACCAUUUUUCGUUCGUUUUUUAAAGUGAGGCCAAAUUUCGUGUGGACAUCUGAAUAGGAAUCAUUUGUACAAAUUUCUCAAUUAAAAAAAACAUUUUUUUAAAAAAAAACACUUAAUUGUGCCUAUACACUUGAUCCCAGCCAAAAGGCACUUAAUUGUUCCUUUUUUUAUUAUCACUCUACACUUAAAAACACUUAUCCUAAAAGUCAUCGUAACUUAAUUUCAAA
Benincasa hispida (wax gourd) is the source of this 527-nucleotide non-coding RNA. Lineage: Eukaryota; Viridiplantae; Streptophyta; Magnoliopsida; Cucurbitales; Cucurbitaceae. The record is from RefSeq and is a predicted model, not a curated record.